This is a small nucleolar RNA of Grammomys surdaster, 143 nucleotides long. RefSeq annotates it as small nucleolar RNA SNORA48. NCBI's taxonomy places the organism in Eukaryota, Metazoa, Chordata, Mammalia, Rodentia, Muridae. The transcript has a single exon. The record is from RefSeq and is a predicted model, not a curated record.
UACUCCCAGCAAUGGGCAAAGAGACACCUUGUUGGUGGUCUUGUUCUUAUAUCAGUCAGGGCAGAGCAGAUGGAAGUCCUUUGUUCAUCCUAGCUUGAUGUAUGACUUGGUGGCACUAGCUGUUUUAUGCCUAGGACUCAUAA